Long non-coding RNA from Dromiciops gliroides (monito del monte), 503 nucleotides. RefSeq lists it as uncharacterized. The record is from RefSeq and is a predicted model, not a curated record. The transcript is spliced from 3 exons. NCBI's taxonomy places the organism in Eukaryota, Metazoa, Chordata, Mammalia, Microbiotheria, Microbiotheriidae.
AGCAGAGAUGAGGAGGGCUUGCAUUUUACGGAUGGGAGACAGCUGUAUGAAGGUGUUGAGGCAGUCACCACCCAACAACCAACUCAUUCUGUGCCCGGCCCGAGCGAGACGUUCCAUCUCUGACUCCCCAAUGGGGAAAAUCAGGCCCAAAGAGGAGAUAUGAAUUGCCCUUACCACUAACAUCCUUCAGAUGGUCUUAACACAGUGCCUGUCUGCUUAACAAAUGCUUGCUGACUGACUGGAUUAAUACAGAACAUAGAAUUUCAGGGAUAGAAGUCACUUUCACAGAGAAUAUUCAACAAUCCAUCCAUCCAUCCAGACCACCUUGCCAUCUGCUCUGCUGCAAGUAUGUGCCUAUCUAUCCUCCCAGCCCCUUGUUCUGGGCACAAUAAUCAAAUUGAUUGACUUCUCCAUAGAUUGAUUCACCAUCACUGUGACUCUUCCAGACUACAGCUCCCUUCCCCUGGCAACUAAUCCUCUCUAUGUGUCCUCUCUCCCUCUUA